AUCGCUUCUCAACCUUUUGUCUAAAAUCAAGUAUAGUAUUUGUUCUUAUCAGCUUAAUAUAUGAUACAUCCUCUAUCCGAGGACAAUAUAUUAAAUGCAUUUUGGGGACAGGGAGAUGGAAUAGGAGCUUGCUCCGUCCACUCCACGCAUCAACCUGGUAUUGCAGUACCUCCAGGAACAGUGCACCAAAA
This is a small nuclear RNA of Castor canadensis (American beaver), 191 nucleotides long. Its record names the gene U2. It matches the Rfam family "U2 spliceosomal RNA". Rfam says of the family: U2 is a small nuclear RNA (snRNA) component of the spliceosome (involved in pre-mRNA splicing). Complementary binding between U2 snRNA (in an area lying towards the 5' end but 3' to hairpin I) and the branchpoint sequence (BPS) of the intron results the bulging out of an unpaired adenosine, on the BPS, which initiates a nucleophilic attack at the intronic 5' splice site, thus starting the first of two transesterification reactions that mediate splicing. The record is from Ensembl. NCBI's taxonomy places the organism in Eukaryota, Metazoa, Chordata, Mammalia, Rodentia, Castoridae.